RNAcentral lists this transfer RNA (73 nucleotides) under Candidatus Blochmannia sansabeanus (nom. nud.). Its description in RNAcentral is "tRNA-Glu". It matches the Rfam family "tRNA". Rfam says of the family: Transfer RNA (tRNA) molecules are approximately 80 nucleotides in length. Their secondary structure includes four short double-helical elements and three loops (D, anti-codon, and T loops). RNAcentral also lists the same sequence under 2 other names. Lineage: Bacteria; Pseudomonadati; Pseudomonadota; Gammaproteobacteria; Enterobacterales; Enterobacteriaceae. The record is from RNAcentral.
GUCCCCUUCGUCUAGAGGUCUAGGACACUGCCCUUUCACGGCGGCAACAGGGGUUCAAAGCCCCUAGGGGACA